CCUUACCAGGCCUUGACAUCCCAUGCAAUGCUAUAGAGAUAUAGUGGAGGUUACCAUGGAGACAGGUGGUGCAUGGUUGUCGUCAGCUCGUGUCGUGAGAUGUUGGGUUAAGUCCCGCAACGAGCGCAACCCUUAUUGCUAGUUGCCAUCAUUUAGUUGGGGACUCUAGCGAGACUGCCAGUGACAAACUGGAGGAAGGUGGGGAUGACGUCAAAUCAUCAUGCCCCUUAUGGCCUGGGCUACAAACGUGAUACAAUGGGUGCUACAAAGGGCAGCGAAGCCGUGAGGUGGAGCGAAACCCAUAAAAGCACUCUCAGUUCGGAUUGAAGUCUGCAACUCGACUUCAUGAAGUUGGAAUCGCUAGUAAUCGCAAAUCAGAAUGUUGCGGUGAAUACGUUCUCGGGGUUUGUACACACCGCCCGUCAAACCACGAAAGUCAGCAAUACCCAAAGCCGGUGGCCUAACCGUAAGGAGGGAGCCGUUUAAGGUAGGGUUGAUGAUUGGGGUUAAGUCGUAACAAGGUAACCAAGGCGAAUUCCAGCACACU
RNAcentral lists this ribosomal RNA (547 nucleotides) under uncultured bacterium. RNAcentral's name for it is "bacterial SSU rRNA". It matches the Rfam family "Bacterial small subunit ribosomal RNA", at positions 969 to 1533 of the family's 1533-position model. The record is from RNAcentral.